AAGGAACUGUUGUGAAGCAGUUACACUUUGUUGCAGUAAAUUAGUGGAGCAAAACACAAAUGAAACACAAAUGCCUCUUCUCGAUUGAGGUAAUUCUGACAACCUCUUUGUAUGUCUAUGUCCCUAAUGAAAAUGAGACUGUCCCUGUUCGGUAAAUUCUUUGGUUCCUAGUCACUGAGCUGAAGCAAAUGCCUCGUGUUGGUAUGCUGAAAGUCCCUAUCCUUGUUCCUGAUGAAAGAAUGAAAGCAAAUGCCUCGUGUUGGUCCCUGUCCCAAAUGAUAAAAGAGAUUGUCCCAUAAUGGAAAAUUUCUCGGGUUCCUAGUCACUGAGCUGAAGCAAAUGCCUUGUGUUGGUAUGCUGAAAGUCCCUAUCCUUGUCCCUAAUGGAAGAAUGAAAGCAAAUCCCUCGCGUUGGUCGAGGUAAUCUAAAUUACCUCUAUGAAUGUCCCUGUCCCAAAUGAUAAAAAAGAUUGUCCCAUAUCGG
Molecule: long non-coding RNA, 483 nt
Filed under: Capsella rubella
Lineage: Eukaryota; Viridiplantae; Streptophyta; Magnoliopsida; Brassicales; Brassicaceae
Description: long non-coding RNA (CRUB_LNC000759)
Source: RNAcentral